GACGAACGCUGGCGGCGUGCUUAACACAUGCAAGUCGAACGGUGAAGCGCCUUCCUUUUUGGUGGGUGUGGAUGAGUGGCGAACGGGUGAGUAACACGUGAGUAACCUGCCCCCUUCUUCUGGAUAACCGCAUGAGAGUGUGGCUAAUACGGGAUAUUCUGGGUCUGUCGCAUGAUGGGUCUGGGAAAGAUAUUGUUUCGGUGGGGGAUGGGCUCGCGGCCUAUCAGCUUGUUGGUGGGGUGAUGGCCUACCAAGGCGGUGACGGGUAGCCGGCCUGAGAGGGUGGACGGUCACACUGGGACUGAGACACGGCCCAGACUCCUACGGGAGGCAGCAGUGGGGAAUAUUGCACAAUGGGCGCAAGCCUGAUGCAGCGACGCCGCGUGAGGGAUGGAGGCCUUCGGGUUGUGAACCUCUUUCGCCAGUGAAGCAGGCCUGCCUCGUUUGUGGGUGGGUUGACGGUAGCUGGAUAAGAAGCGCCGGCUAACUACGUG
RNAcentral lists this ribosomal RNA (494 nucleotides) under uncultured bacterium. RNAcentral describes it as "partial 16S ribosomal RNA". It matches the Rfam family "Bacterial small subunit ribosomal RNA", at positions 28 to 507 of the family's 1533-position model. The record is from RNAcentral.